UACGUAGGGUGCGAGCGUUGUCCGGAAUUAUUGGGCGUAAAGAGCGUGUAGGCGGCCAGGUAGGUCUGCUGUGAAAACUCGAGGCUUAACCUCGAGCUGUCGGCGGAAACCAUCUGGCUAGAGUCCGGAAGAGGAGAAUGGAAUUCCACGUGUAGCGGUGAAAUGCGUAGAGAUGUGGAGGAACACCAGUGGCGAAGGCGGGUCUCUGGGCAACAACUGACGCUGAGGAGCGAAAGCGUGGGGAGCGAACAGG
RNAcentral lists this ribosomal RNA (253 nucleotides) under uncultured bacterium. RNAcentral describes it as "partial 16S ribosomal RNA". It matches the Rfam family "Bacterial small subunit ribosomal RNA", at positions 524 to 776 of the family's 1533-position model. The record is from RNAcentral.